This is a non-coding RNA of Taeniopygia guttata (zebra finch), 2541 nucleotides long. NCBI's taxonomy places the organism in Eukaryota, Metazoa, Chordata, Aves, Passeriformes, Estrildidae. The record is from RefSeq and is a predicted model, not a curated record.
GGUUUGUUUUAUCUGCAUGUGGCUGAGGAUAACGCUGGUGCUCAGCAACAGAGAAGUGGUUGGUGCUGUAUUGAUUCCAGGUUUCUGGGGUUUACAUAAAAGGAUAUUCACUUUGUGGGAUUUCUCAGAUCCUUUUCCAUGCUCAGCCAUGACUCACUCGCCCUGGAGCCAGCGUGUGGGAUUACGGAUUGCAGAAGUGCUUGUGGCACUUUCCUGGGAUAGUGGAGGCAAAAGAAACUUUCUGAGCAUCCAUUAACCCCUCCCUGCCCUAAGCAGGCAGGAAUGACAUCUGUCCCACUCCCUUUUGCUGGCCUGGCUCACAAACCCUCAGCUCUUCUCUGAGGAGACCACAGCACUGGAGAUCAUCGUGUGGAGUCAUUUCCCACAGUGAAAUUGCCCAAGGCUGGGAGCAGCCCCAGCUUAUUACAGCCUGGAAUUCACAGGACGAUGCACUGGGUAUUUUGUUUAUUAUCUAAGGGGCAAUAAGAUAAAAAGAGAAAUGUGGCCUUGACUGCCUAGCUGGGGGCAUCAUGAGGGUCAAGAGCAUGAAGGCUGCAGCCUUGGGUCUUCCAAAUUAGUGCAGAUCUCCUCUGGCACAGUAAAACCAUGCUGAUGUGCAAAUCUGAUCCCAGGUGUGCCUGGGGACUUAAUUUCCUUCUUUUCAAUUACUUAAAAAAACCCCAAACUUAAAAUAAAAAGGCAACAUGCACAGCCUUAAAGCCCUUAGAAUGCAGGUUUCAAGGUGAGAUCAGCUAAUGACAAACAGAGCAGCGAGCGGCUGGAGCAGAGGGAGCUGUGAUUUCCAAGAAAUUCCAUGGUUCUGACUACUCCGUGAGCAGCUCUGUGUCCCUGUUCUGCUACAGGUGUCUAUCACCUGUACAGGAGGAAUUUGGCAGGGCAGCAAGGCCCUUUCUAGAGCAGAGUCUGCUUUCCGACAGGUACCAGGUGCCCGUGGCAGUUGGGCACGGUGCUGGCUCUGUCCCUCUGGGCAGGGGGACAGGUUCUGAGCACGCUGGCUCUGUCCCUCUGGGCAGGGGGACAGGUUCUGAGCCCACAGGACACCUGGCUGGCAGCAGGGAGGGAUUUCAAUUACCCGUGCAUGGCCAAGAGCACAGGGGACUUGUCCAGGGAAUUAAUGACUCGGCACAGGGAGGCAGCCCCAGGGCUGGAGGUGGAUGAAUCCUCAGUUUGGAGGGGAUGGAUCCUGCAGCAGGAGGCUCCCCUGCCACAUCCCCCUUCCUCACUGGCUGGUUUUUCCUGGGAUUUAAAGUGAAUGGCAGCCACACUUCCCCACCACAGCAGCAGCUCAGUGCCUCAGGUAACACAGCUCAAGGUCACCACAGCCUUCCUCCUGCUGGGGAGAUUUUGGGGUCAAAUACGGAAUAAAGGAAACAUUUCAAACCAACCCAGUGACCUUCAGUCUCGCUGGUAGAGAAAGGAGGCAGGACAGAGCUGGGGAAGGUACCAGUGCCUCACAAGAACUGAGCAGCAGCUGACCUUUGGAGCCUUAUUUUUGUACAAAAUAUUUUGUUUAUAGAGCCUAACCCAAAAAUAGCAACACCUCUUUCUGAAGUCCAGCAGCACCGAGGCACUGCUGGAGAGCUGUGUUGGGCAGAUAAUAGAAAACAUGCCAGCCUUUUGUACCACGUGAAUCCAAAUGUUUAAGCACGGCCACAGAUUCACCUGUCAAAGCAACACCCCUCAGGUGUGCUGAGCAGAGCUGGCACCAGCUGCAGUUAUUGCAGUUCUCUGUCACAUCAAGCCCACUGGAAGCUGCCAAACCUCGACGUGUCCCCUGCACACCCCAUCAACUUUUGUCUCCAGUAAUUCACAGAUUUCACAGUUCCCACCAUUAUUUUUCUGAAAGCUUCGUGUCAGCUCCAGAGGGGUUUUAAAGUAUCGAUGUCAAAUCUCUGUUGAAGCCAGAAUUCUGUCAAUAGUUAAUCUGAACUAACAAAACCCAAACUACAAACAAAUCCCAGCCGGAUUGAGCUUUAUGUAUCACAGCUUAUGUUUGUUGAGCUUUAGGAUUGAACCCCUGAUCCUCAUACCUCCUGGAUGUUCCAGGGAUUACAGGAGUAUUACCAAAUCCUAAUUACAUAUAGUUUUGACUAUCUGACUCACACAGUUCUCUUAAAGUACUUUUUCCUUUUUCUUCCUUUUUUAAUAUUUUAAACUGAUUAAUUCAGUCUUAAGUGCCGUGCAUUUAAUUUUCUUAAAGAAAACGUAGCAAGGCAGAAGUGAUUGGGGCUGCAGUGCAGCAAACUGGAGCCUCUCAGACUUGCUUUUUUCCCAUACACAAUAAUAAUAAUUUUUGACAUUGCAGCUGUUGUGUGAUCCAAGGCAGAGAUGGGGGAUCGCUUCAGUUUUACCUGAAAUAUUUAAAACCUUUCACAAAGUUCAUGGAAACUCUUCUAGAAUUUAUGACAAUUUUUUUUGCCAGGCAGCAUUGCUCAUUACAAAGUCUCUUUUCGGGGAUGCUGUAAAACCAAGUUCUCCCCUUGGACUGCUGAAGAGGCUGAAGAAUCUUAAAAACAGCAA